AACGUGGCUUUUCUAAAAGCCCCAGCUUCUUUUCAUUAACAAAGUGU
Non-coding RNA from Gallus gallus (chicken), 47 nucleotides. NCBI's taxonomy places the organism in Eukaryota, Metazoa, Chordata, Aves, Galliformes, Phasianidae. The record is from Rfam.